GUCUACGGCCAUACCACCCUGAACACGCCUGAUCUCGUCUGAUCUCAGAAGCUAAGCAGGGUCGGGCCUGGUUAGUACUUGGAUGAGAGACUGGUAACACUUGCAAUGUAUUUA
This 114-nucleotide ribosomal RNA is filed under the name Microcebus murinus (gray mouse lemur). The record is from RNAcentral. Lineage: Eukaryota; Metazoa; Chordata; Mammalia; Primates; Cheirogaleidae.